RNAcentral lists this small nuclear RNA (337 nucleotides) under Erinaceus europaeus (western European hedgehog). Its description in RNAcentral is "7SK RNA". The stretch from base 1 to 302 matches the Rfam family "7SK RNA". From Rfam's summary of the family: 7SK was discovered as an abundant small nuclear RNA in the mid-70s but a possible function has only recently been suggested. The record is from Rfam by way of RNAcentral. Lineage: Eukaryota; Metazoa; Chordata; Mammalia; Eulipotyphla; Erinaceidae.
GGAUGUGAGGACAAUCUGGCUGUGACAUCUGUCAUCCCAUUGAUUGCCAGGGUUGAUUCAGCCUAUCUGGCUGGCUGGGCAGGUGUCCCCUCCUCCCUCACCUCCCUCACCGCUCCACGUGCAUCACUCCUUUGAAGAGGACAGCCUUCCCAAAUAGAGAUGGACCAGUCUUCGGUCUAGGGUAUACAAAUAGCUGCGCUCCCCUGCUAGAACCUCCAAACAAGCUCUCAAAAUUGUCAAACCCUUAGUCAGACUUACUAGAAAAGGGCGGUGGGCUAGAAGAUACAAAUAUAUAGAACUGUAAACAAUAGAGGAGAUACUGCCCUCCUUACUAGUU